GCUCUUGAAGCUGAUUGAGCGUUGGACUCUUAAUUCAAAAGUAGUCAGGUUUCUGACCAAGGGUA
RNAcentral lists this transfer RNA (65 nucleotides) under Rhabdopleura compacta. RNAcentral's name for it is "transfer RNA-Lys". Lineage: Eukaryota; Metazoa; Hemichordata; Pterobranchia; Rhabdopleurida; Rhabdopleuridae. The record is from RNAcentral.